GAUGAACGCUGGCGGCGUGCCUAAUACAUGCAAGUCGAGCGAACAGACGAGGAGCUUGCUCCUCUGACGUUAGCGGCGGACGGGUGAGUAACACGUGGAUAACCUACCUAUAAGACUGGGAUAACUUCGGGAAACCGGAGCUAAUACCGGAUAAUAUAUUGAACCGCAUGGUUCAAUAGUGAAAGACGGUUUUGCUGUCACUUAUAGAUGGAUCCGCGCCGCAUUAGCUAGUUGGUAAGGUAACGGCUUACCAAGGCGACGAUGCGUAGCCGACCUGAGAGGGUGAUCGGCCACACUGGAACUGAGACACGGUCCAGACUCCUACGGGAGGCAGCAGUAGGGAAUCUUCCGCAAUGGGCGAAAGCCUGACGGAGCAACGCCGCGUGAGUGAUGAAGGUCUUCGGAUCGUAAAACUCUGUUAUUAGGGAAGAACAAAUGUGUAAGUAACUAUGCACGUCUUGACGGUACCUAAGCAGAAAACCACGGCUAACUACGU
Molecule: ribosomal RNA, 496 nt
Filed under: uncultured bacterium
Lineage: Bacteria
Description: partial 16S ribosomal RNA
Rfam family: Bacterial small subunit ribosomal RNA
Source: RNAcentral